ACUUCCUCUAAGUAUUGUAUGAUCUAGUAAAAAGAUCUGUUCAUAUCAGCUUAACCCCUGUUACGUCCUGCAUCACAGGACUGGAAUAUUAAACUCAUUUUUUAUUCAUGAUGGAUUGCCAAGAGCGUUUUCUAACUCUGUAACAUGAUGCCUCCUCACUUUCGAACUUUCUUUAGGUUGUCAAAUGUCUC
This is a small nuclear RNA of Schistocerca serialis cubense, 191 nucleotides long. RefSeq annotates it as U2 spliceosomal RNA. The transcript has a single exon. The record is from RefSeq and is a predicted model, not a curated record. Lineage: Eukaryota; Metazoa; Arthropoda; Insecta; Orthoptera; Acrididae.